CCUACGGGGGGCAGCAGUGAGGAAUAUUGGUCAAUGGACGCAAGUCUGAACCAGCCAUGCCGCGUGCAGGAAGACGGCUCUAUGAAUUGUAAACUGCUUUUGUCCGAGGAUAAAUCCCGAUACGUGUAUCUGGUUGAAAGUAUCUUACGAAUAAGGAUCGGCUAACUCCGUGCCAGCAGCCGCGGUAAUACGGAGGAUGCGAGCGUUAUCCGGAUUUAUUGGGUUUAAAGGGUGCGUAGGCGGACUGUUAAGUCAGCGGUAAAAGCCCGGGGCGCAACCCCGGCGAGCCGUUGAAACUGGCUGUCUUGAGAUGGCGAGAGGUAUGCGGAAUGCGCAGUGUAGCGGUGAAAUGCUUAGAUAUUGCGCAGAACUCCGAUUGCGAAGGCAGCAUACCGGCGGCGAUCUGACGCUGAGGCACGAAAGCGUGGGUAUCGAACAGGAUUAGAUACCCCGGUAGUC
Molecule: ribosomal RNA, 459 nt
Filed under: uncultured bacterium
Lineage: Bacteria
Description: partial 16S ribosomal RNA
Rfam family: Bacterial small subunit ribosomal RNA
Source: RNAcentral